UACGGAGGGUGCAAGCGUUAUCCGGAUUUACUGGGCGUAAAGCGCACGUAGGUGGCGACGUAAGUCGGGUGUGAAAGCCCCGGGCUCAACCUGGGAAUUGCAUUCGAGACUGCAUUGCUGGAGUACGGAAGAGGAGGGCGGAAUUCCCGGUGUAGCGGUGAAAUGCGUAGAUAUCGGGAGGAACAUCAGUGGCGAAGGCGGCCCUCUGGUCCAGUACUGACACUCAAGUGCGAAAGCGUGGGGAGCAAACAGG
Molecule: ribosomal RNA, 253 nt
Filed under: uncultured bacterium
Lineage: Bacteria
Description: partial 16S ribosomal RNA
Rfam family: Bacterial small subunit ribosomal RNA
Source: RNAcentral